UAGACAGCACUGGAGAAUUAAGACCUCUAUUUGUGCAUAGGGUAGGUACAGCAUGGCACUGUCAAUGUAAACUUCUCCAUUUCUGCCCACCAAUUGCACUGCAAACAGGGAUGAGAUUGCAAUUCAUUCCACAUCAAUUCUUAACUUCUCUGCA
Molecule: small RNA, 154 nt
Filed under: Chrysemys picta bellii (western painted turtle)
Lineage: Eukaryota; Metazoa; Chordata; Testudines; Emydidae
Description: TUC338 (ENSCPBG00000016176.1)
Source: RNAcentral